This 74-nucleotide transfer RNA is filed under the name Triticum turgidum subsp. durum (durum wheat). RNAcentral describes it as "Triticum durum (durum wheat) tRNA". It matches the Rfam family "tRNA". Rfam says of the family: Transfer RNA (tRNA) molecules are approximately 80 nucleotides in length. Their secondary structure includes four short double-helical elements and three loops (D, anti-codon, and T loops). The record is from Rfam by way of RNAcentral. RNAcentral also lists the same sequence under 1 other name. Lineage: Eukaryota; Viridiplantae; Streptophyta; Magnoliopsida; Poales; Poaceae.
GGGGAAAUAGCUCAGUUGGUUAGAGUGCUGGUCUGUCACGCCAGAAGUCACGGGUUCGAACCCCGUUUUCCCUG